UGCAGUCGAACGGUGAAGCCAAGCUUGCUUGGUGGAUCAGUGGCGAACGGGUGAGUAACACGUGAGCAACCUGCCCUGGACUCUGGGAUAAGCGCUGGAAACGGCGUCUAAUACUGGAUAUGAGACGUGAUCGCAUGGUCGUGUUUGGAAAGAUUUUUCGGUCUGGGAUGGGCUCGCGGCCUAUCAGCUUGUUGGUGAGGUAAUGGCUCACCAAGGCGUCGACGGGUAGCCGGCCUGAGAGGGUGACCGGCCACACUGGGACUGAGACACGGCCCAGACUCCUACGGGAGGCAGCAGUGGGGAAUAUUGCACAAUGGGCGGAAGCCUGAUGCAGCAACGCCGCGUGAGGGAUGACGGCCUUCGGGUUGUAAACCUCUUUUAGCAGGGAAGAAGCGAGAGUGACGGUACCUGCAGAAAAAGCGCCGGCUAACUACGUGCCAGCAGCCGCGGUAAUACGUAGGGCGCAAGCGUUAUCCGGAAUUAUUGGGCGUAAAGAGCUCGUAGGCGGUUUGUCGCGUCUGCUGUGAAAUCCCGAGGCUCAACCUCGGGCCUGCAGUGGGUACGGGCAGACUAGAGUGCGGUAGGGGAGAUUGGAAUUCCUGGUGUAGCGGUGGAAUGCGCAGAUAUCAGGAGGAACACCGAUGGCGAAGGCAGAUCUCUGGGCCGUAACUGACGCUGAGGAGCGAAAGGGUGGGGAGCAAACAGGCUUAGAUACCCUGGUAGUCCACCCCGUAAACGUUGGGAACUAGUUGUGGGGACCAUUCCACGGUUUCCGUGACGCAGCUAACGCAUUAAGUUCCCCGCCUGGGGAGUACGGCCGCAAGGCUAAAACUCAAAGGAAUUGACGGGGACCCGCACAAGCGGCGGAGCAUGCGGAUUAAUUCGAUGCAACGCGAAGAACCUUACCAAGGCUUGACAUAUACGAGAACGGGCCAGAAAUGGUCAACU
RNAcentral lists this ribosomal RNA (948 nucleotides) under Microbacterium sp. TP10-5. RNAcentral's name for it is "bacterial SSU rRNA". It matches the Rfam family "Bacterial small subunit ribosomal RNA", at positions 56 to 1015 of the family's 1533-position model. Lineage: Bacteria; Bacillati; Actinomycetota; Actinomycetes; Micrococcales; Microbacteriaceae. The record is from RNAcentral.